GAUAGACCGCUUAGGUAAAGAAUUUCUCUCUUUAUAGUAUGGUUAUGUAUCCUAAGUUUGAUUACACCCUCUACGGUAUCUCGAUCACCAAAACCAAAAACCCUAAGCAAUACCUUUACCGUUAAUCUUCAUAGGGUUUGUUUUUUUCUCUUCUUUCUUUCCAUGUUGAGCACUGAUCACCUUGUGGUCAUCACCACCAUCACCAUGAUCCUAUAGCUCCACCACUUGGCAUGGCACUUUAUUAUUUUAUGUCUACAUACUUAUUAGCACAAUGAUUAGUCCCUAGGUUUCAUCAAUUAUUAAAACCAAACUAGGGCUUUAUCUGGCAGCGAUAUAGGACAUGUAGUGGUUGCAGUUUUAUUAAGCAUUACGACUCCAAUAAAACUUUUCACAACGUAACUCAAAUAUUGCAUGUCAACGAUGACAUUGAUAUUAUUUACUUAUUUCAACAAACUUCAUAGUUCGACAACACUUUCAUGUAUUGCAACCAAAAGUAUAACUAGUUGCGAUAUCACCACCUAAUGCAACCAAAUUUGGUCAAAACCUUGUAGUGCUAUAACUUUAUUCCCUUAUCUUCAAAAUGUAUAAAUUUUCUAACAUGAUUAAAACUAGAUUAUAUAACUGAGAGGAUCUUUAAAACACACAUGCAAAAGUUGGGAAACAAGGUGGAGACAUUAGCCUUUAGCCCUCACACUAUUGGAAACUAAAAAGUUCUUAUCGGUUUUCCUUCAACCGACAUAAAGAAAAAAAUGUAUAUAUAUUUUGCAAACUAAUCAUAGAUUAGCUGGUUGGGUUCCUUGCGGUGGAAUUUGUCCAUCUAGAUUUAAGUCCCAUCCGGAUUUAAGUCCCUGACUUGAUACGGGUGCUUGUAUUUUCCUAGGUUUAUUCUAGGAUUUAACGGCGCUAUGUUUUCAGUGGUAGACGUCGUGCCCGUCGACAGUGAGGUGCAUGUGGUGACUUCGUCAGUCUCAAGAUCUGCUGGUCCAACUCGGUUCUUCGGAGGUGCUCAUAGUAGAGUGUACGUGCGUGCGUUCAUAGGGGUGAUUGUGCGCUUAUGUUUGUGAGCAUAUGCGUUUGUAAUUGGUUCUUGCAAAAAAAAAAAGAAAAAAAUGUAUUUUUCUUGUGAGCAUAGGUUUGUGAUAUAUUUAGUACUUAGCUUUUCGUUCUCACCAUGCGUGAUGGAAACAAAAAGUUACAUACUAAUAAAAAUUAUGUCACAUGUACGGUGACAACAAAAAGCUAAGUACUAAAUAUAUCACAUACCUAAGCUCACGGGCCAAAUCGAAAAACUAUCACUACUAAAUAAUUUUUUAGGAAGCGUUUUGAAAAUCCUCUUGAACGCUGUUGGGCCGGUGGCCCACCUCAAUUAAUCGUGCCUGAGCUACUGGCCUAUACAACCAUCUUGGAUAAUAGAUUAAUCAAGGCAGGCGAUAUAAUGUAACCACCUCGGAUAAUCGUACAUCAACUGAGACCAUUGCCCUAAACCAAUCACCUUCAUUAAUGGAUUAACCAAGAUGGUUAACCAACCGUCUCCAUUAAUCAUUAUUAAUUGAGAUGGGCACUUAAGGCAACCGCCUCCAUUAAUUGAUUAACUGAGGCUAGUGUCUUAAGAUGUCUGUCUCAGUUAAUGAUUGCACUAGAAAAUAAUUCAUAAUUUUUUCAUAUGAAUUCGGAUGAAGAUAAACUUUAUAUCAAAAUUGUAGCCCUCCAUGAGAUCUACAACUUUGUAGUUGAAAAGUUUUUGAAUUGAAACUAUUUAGGGUCCCAAAAUAUUAUUGUAAGUGCACAGAUUUUGAAAUUUGAAAUUUAAAAUUAUCAAAUUAACUCAAAUAUUGAUAUAGGUCUAUGCAAAAGUUUUAGUCCUCACUAGAAUGUACAACUUUGUAGUUGAAAAGAUUUCAAUUCGAAGAUGUUUAGUGUUCCAAAUAUGUGUUUGAAAGUUAUAGAUUUUGAAAUUUAAAAUUUAGAAUUUCUAAAUGAUCUCAAAUGUUCACAUUAAUACCAAAGUUCUAGUGUCC
Molecule: long non-coding RNA, 2018 nt
Filed under: Sorghum bicolor (sorghum)
Lineage: Eukaryota; Viridiplantae; Streptophyta; Magnoliopsida; Poales; Poaceae
Description: long non-coding RNA (SBIC_LNC011672)
Source: RNAcentral